RNAcentral lists this ribosomal RNA (502 nucleotides) under uncultured bacterium. RNAcentral describes it as "bacterial SSU rRNA". It matches the Rfam family "Bacterial small subunit ribosomal RNA", at positions 36 to 518 of the family's 1533-position model. The record is from RNAcentral.
CUGGCGGCGUGCUUAACACAUGCAAGUCGAACGCGAAAGGGACUUCGGUCCUGAGUAAAGUGGCGCACGGGUGAGUAACGCGUAGAUAACCUGUCUUCAUGUCUGGAAUAAUACGCCGAAAGGGGUACUAAUACCGGAUAUUCCUGCUUUUCAUAAGUUAUGCAAGCAAAGGUGGCCUCUGCAUAUGCUACUGCAUGAAGAGGGGUCUGCGUACCAUUAGCUAGUAGGUGGGGUAAUGGCCUACCUAGGCGACGAUGGUUAGCGGGUCUGAGAGGAUGAUCCGCCACACUGGCACUGGAACACGGGCCAGACUCCUACGGGAGGCAGCAGUGAGGAAUAUUGCGCAAUGGGGGAAACCCUGACGCAGCGACGCCGCGUGAGUGAGGAAGGCCUUCGGGUCGUAAAGCUCUGUCAAGAGGAAAGAAGUGUACAAUGGCUAAUACCUGUUGUAUUUGACGGUACCUCUAAAGGAAGCACCGGCUAACUCCGUGCCAGCAGCUGC